UGCCCCACCUCGGGGUGCCUGCGGAUGUUCCGCCGGCUGAGAUGCGCAAGCGAACCCGUCGAACCUGAACCGGAUCAUACCGGCGGAGGGAAGGUGCGAGAGCGAUCU
This 108-nucleotide non-coding RNA is filed under the name Gemmobacter megaterium. Its description in RNAcentral is "TPP sequence". It matches the Rfam family "TPP riboswitch aptamer (THI element)". From Rfam's summary of the family: Vitamin B(1) in its active form thiamin pyrophosphate (TPP) is an essential coenzyme that is synthesised by coupling of pyrimidine and thiazole moieties in bacteria. The previously detected thiamin-regulatory element, thi box was extended, resulting in a new, highly conserved RNA secondary structure, the THI element, which is widely distributed in eubacteria and also occurs in some archaea. Lineage: Bacteria; Pseudomonadati; Pseudomonadota; Alphaproteobacteria; Rhodobacterales; Paracoccaceae. The record is from Rfam by way of RNAcentral.